This 253-nucleotide ribosomal RNA is filed under the name uncultured bacterium. RNAcentral's name for it is "partial 16S ribosomal RNA". It matches the Rfam family "Bacterial small subunit ribosomal RNA", at positions 524 to 776 of the family's 1533-position model. The record is from RNAcentral. RNAcentral also lists the same sequence under 1 other name.
UACGUAGGGUGCAAGCGUUAAUCGGAAUUACUGGGCGUAAAGCGUGCGCAGGCGGUUAUGUAAGACAGAUGUGAAAUGCCCGGGCUCAACCUGGGAACUGCAUUUGUGACUGCAUGGCUAGAGUUUGGCAGAGGGGGGUAGAAUUCCACGUGUAGCAGUGAAAUGCGUAGAUAUGUGGAGGAAUACCGAUGGCGAAGGCAGCCCCCUGGGUCAAGACUGACGCUCAUGCACGAAAGCGUGGGGAGCAAACAGG